This 38748-nucleotide long non-coding RNA is filed under the name Homo sapiens (human). RNAcentral's name for it is "HSALNT0409544". Lineage: Eukaryota; Metazoa; Chordata; Mammalia; Primates; Hominidae. The record is from RNAcentral.
GGCAACCCACUAGAGUCCACUUCCGGCAGUGGAAGCUUUGUUCUUUUGCUCUUUGCAGUAAAUCUUGCUGCUGCUCACUCUUUGGGUCUGCACUGCCUUUAUGAGCUGUUAACACUCACCACGAAGGUCUGCAGCUUCACUCCUGAGGCCAGCAAGACCACAAACCCACUGGGAGGAGUGAACAACUCCAGAUGUUCCACUUUAAGAGCUGUAACACUCACUGUGAAGGUCUGCAACUUCACUCCUGAAGCCAGUGAGACCAUGAACCCACCAGAAGGAAGAAACUCCGAACAAUCUGAACAUCAGAAGGAACAAACUCUGGACACACCAUCUUUAAGAACUGUUAACACUCACUGCGAGGCUCCGUGGCUUCAUUCCUCAAGUCAGUGAGACCAAGAACCCACCAAUUUCGGACACAAUGGGAGCAGACUUCUUUAUGUUCUCAUGAUAGAUGCACUUGCUUCCUCUUCUACCCUGAUUGCAAGUUUCCCGAGGCCUUAUCAGCCCUGCAAAACUGACUGGAGCCCAAGAGCAGGGGAUACCUGAAAUCCUAGGCACUGACAGGAGAACUUCAGACUGGAGAGGAGACCAGCUCUCCUGCAUCCCGGUGCCCUUCCCUAACAGCACAAUGGAACUGGCAAAGGGGCUACAGGACAAUUCCAGGAGCUGCGUGCAUUCUUCAAAAACGUGUUGCAGGUAUCAUACUGUGGGUCCACCACAGUUGGCCAAAAUUGGCAGCACUGGACAAGUGGACCAGUCAGGAAGACCCAGACCACCCAACAGGGCUGAUCUUGCGAUGGAACCAAGUCAUGCUGAGAAGGACAACCACUCUGCUCUGUCCACUCCAGAGGCUGGACAGUCUACACAUGGCUGAAGCUUGAGGAAACUUCAAGCCCUGCCCUAGUCACACCACAAGCUGACUAGUCUAUGCACGGCUGAAGCUUGAAGAGUCUUCCUCAGAUGAGUAAAUGUGGAUAGAAGUAUUAAGUUUAGUUGCUAUCUUAGUAAUAUUACUUGUUCUGUUGCUAUGCUAUAAUUUUUGCCAGUCCCUCCUCCCAGGAAAGGACCUUUUUUGUCCAUACUUUGUGUAAACAUACCACUCCUUAUUUUUAUUUUGCUACUACCACUGCCUAUGGCAAAGAGAAAGCACCUGGAAUGGUGCCCCCACUGCACUCAUACCACAAAGUCUGGAAGAACUUUAACUAAAACUCUCCUAUAUCAUACUCAUUACAUGUGUGCCAGGGCACAUUUGGGUACCUGUGUACAUGACCAAAUAACAUAUUCAAUUUAUGACCCAGGAAAUAACAAACCAUAUAUAUGUUAUGACCCUAAGACUCCACUCACAGAAUUCUAGUUUGAGUCUCAUGCAAAAAUAAAAGAUGGGGAUCUUUUGAAUCAAAAUAAGGGUUUUUCCCUUGGCAUAGAUGCCACAUCCUUAUAUCUUAACCUCUGCCAACACACUUUCACGGUGUCCACUCACUUAAUUAUUAUCUCUGACCCUGAAGGUUACCUUAGCAGUUGUCAUACCACUGGAUGUGCACCCUCCAUUUGCUCUGCCAGAUACCUAGUGAUGAUUGGAUGCUGGAGCUGCUCAACAUGGUUACACAACCCAUUAGAGGAGGCUCUACUUACCAGAAUGCUAGCCAAACCUCACUGUAAUUGGAAAACAUGUUCCUGUAGUACUGUGAAUUUUACUAUCUUAAAGCCAAAUGAACUCAUAUGGACUACAGGAUAUCCCAUAAUGUUAGGAGUUGCUGAUCAAAAGGCAGCCAUGGAAAUCUAGCUAUUUAUUAUUAAGAAAACAAACAAAACAGCCAAUACCUCAGUUCUAGUCUUCAUGUCAUUUUAUAAAUAUUCCAACCAGAAGGUAUCUGAGCCACCUCCUCCAACCAAAAACUUAUUUGCCCAGCUAGCUGAAAACAUAACUGGCAGUUUAGGAAUUACUUCCUGUUAUGUUUGUGGAGGAACAAAUGUAGAAGACCAAUGGCCAUGGGAGGCAAAAGAAUUAAUGCCUCAAGAUAAUUUCACUCUUCCUAAAUCCACCAAUGAACCAAUAGACUCAGCCAGUGUGUGGAUACUGAAUACCUCCAUAAUUUGAAGGUACUGUAUCAUCCAUUGAGGAGAAGCAUUUACAGAUGUAGUAGGAUAAUUAACUUGCUUAGGGCAAAAAUAUUAUAAUAGAACUGAAGGAAAAUUCCAUGGAGGAGUACAAAAAAUGAUUCCUCCUUAUCUAAUUUUAACCCCUUUUCUCAGUUUCCCACCUCGCACCAUUCUUGGUAUCAGCUUGAGGAUCCAAAUUCUUGGCAAGUACCCUCUGGCCUCCAUUGCAUCUGUGGAACAUAGGCAUAUCAGAAACUGCUGCCUAAGUGGUCAGGGGCCAAUGUAUUAAAAAUAAUUAGGCCUUUCUCUUUCUUAACCCCCCUAAAGCAGGGUGAGACUUCAGGGUAUACAGUUUAUGAUGAGAAUAAAAAUGAACCAGGAGGUUAUUUUAUUUUGUUGUUAGUCUCAAAAAUAGAACAAACUUCAAAAAGGAUAUAGAUAUAUGAUACUGGAAAUGUAAUGAAUGGCCUCCUGAAAGAAUUAUUAAAUACUAUGGGCAAGCCACCUGGGCAGAAGAUGGAAUGUGGGGAUAUCAUACCCUCAUUUACAUGAUCAGCCAUGUCAUAAGGUUACAAGCUGUUCUUGAAAUUAUAACCAAGGAAACAUCAAGGGCUUUAGGUUUGGUGGCCGUGCAAGCCACACAGAGGAGAUAAACUAUUUAUCAAAAUAGGUUGGUACUAGAUUAACUCCUGGCCUCAGAAAGGACAGUAUGUGGGAAGUUCAGUUUAACAAAUGUCUGGAAAUUGAUGAUAAUGAACAACUUGUCAUAAAGAUUACUGCAAAGAUGUGAAAGCUGGCUCAUGUUCCAGUGCAAAUCAGGAAAGGCUGGUCUCCAGACUCCUUCUUCGGAGGAUGUUUUUCAUCUUUUUGUGGAUUUAAAACCAUAACAGACUGCUUUGUAGUUAUCUUAAGUGGGUGUCUAAUACUCCCUUCUCUCCUGCCUCUUUUGAUCAGAAGCAUUCAGUCAAGUAUAAAAGCAAUUGUGACAAGGCAAACCACCACCCAAAUGAUGGCUUUAAGUAAACACUAUCCUCUAUCUAGAGAAGAAAGUGUGCCAUCCCAUUGAGAAAUAGAUGAUAGUGGUGCUUUCUAUUAAAAAUUCAUUCAUAAAAAGCAUCAAAGGGGGAAAUGAAGUACAGAAUUAAAGGAAAGUUAAAACUUGCAUAAAAAUUGUUGUUAGAGUUAGAAUAAAAUAGGCCUCAAGUAGCCCCCCACCACUGAAGUAGGAGUUAAGAAAGAAUACUAACUGCUUCUCUGUGAAACGUUAUCCAUAAUCUACCCUCUGCAUAUUUUGUAAGUUCUGUUAAGUUCCUGUUUUUCUGCUGAACAACUGAAAGGUCACAAGAUAGAUAAGCACUAGCUGCAAAACAUGUUUUUCCAAAGAUGUAAGACACGUCAUAAUGUGACUGACUGCUUUUUGUUCUCACUUCUGUAAGCCUGCUUCCUGCCUCGUGUACUGCCUGCCUUAAGAUGCAUAAAAGGCACUUGCCUUGUUUGUUUGGUGCUCACACUUUUUCUGGAUGCUAGUCCACAGAGUUGGGGUACACCCUAAAUAAUAAAUCCUUCUGUGACCCGAUUGGUCUCUCUGGUUCUCUGAUUUCCCACUACAAAUGAACAAAACCUCCAAGAAAUAUGGGGCUAUUGGAAAAGACCACACCUGUGAUUGAUUGGUGUAUGGGAAAGUGUUGAGGAGAAUGAUAACAAGUUGAAAAACACACUUCAGUAUACUAUCCAGAAGAACUUCCCCAACCUAGCAAAAAAGGCCAACAUUCAAAUUCAGGAACUGGAACACCACUAAGAUACUCCUCAAGAAGAGCAACCCCAAGACAUAUAAUUGUCAGAUCCACUAAGGUUGAAAUGAAGGAAAAAGUGUUAAGGGCAGCCAGAGAGAAAGGUCGAGUUACCUAUAAAGGGAAGGGACAGCCUGUACAACUAUAAAGGGAAGGGAAGUUCUGUACAACUGUAAAGGGAAGCCUGUACAACUAACAGCAGAUCUCUCAGCAGAAACCCUAUAAGCCAGAGGAGAGUGGGGGCCAAUAUUCAACAUUCUUAAAGAAAAGCAUUUUCAACCCAGAAUUUCAUAUCCAGCCAAACUAAGCUUCACAAGUGAAGGAGAAAUAAAAUCCUUUACAGACAAGCAAAUGCUUACAGAUUUUGUCACCACUAUGCCUGCCUUUCAAGCGCUCCUGAAGGAAGCAUUAAACAUGGAAGGAAACAACCGGUACCAUGCCAAAUUGUAAAGACCGUUGAUGCUGUGGAGAAACCACGUCAACUAAUGUUCAAAAUAAGGGAUCAUAUGUUGAAAGGAUCAAAUUCAAACAUAACAGUAUUAAUCUUAAAUGUUAAUGGGCAAAAUUCUCCAAUUGAAGGACAAAGACUGGCAAAUUAUAUAGAGUCAAGACCCAUCAGUGUGCUGUGUUCAGGAGACCGAUCUCAUGUGCAAAGACACACAUGGGUUCAAAAUAAAGGGAUGGAGGAAUAUUUACCAAGCAAAUCAAAAGAAAAAAAGGGGUUGCAAUCACAGUCUCUGAGAAAAAAGACCUUAAAACACCAAAGAUCAAAAAAGACAAAGAAUGGCAUUACAUAAUGGUAAAGAGAUCAAGGCAAUGAGAAAUAUUAACUAUUCUAAAUAUACAUGCACCUAUUACAGGAGCACUCAGAUUCAUCAAAUAAGUUCUUAGAAAUCUACAAAAAUACUGAAACUCCCACAUAAUAAUAGUGGGAGACCUUAACACACCAUUGUCAAUAUUACAGAGUUCAAUGAAACAGAAAAUUAACAAGAAUACUUAACCCACGAACUCAGCUCUGGACAAAGCAGAUCUAAUAGACAUCUACAGAGCUCUCUGUCCCAAAUCAACAUAAUAUACAUUCUUCUCAGCACUACAUAGCACUUAUACUAAAAUCGACCACAUAAUUGGAAGUAAAACACUCCUCAACAAACGCAGAAGAAUUGAAAACAUAACAAGCAGUCUCUCAGACCAUAAAGCAAUCAAAUUAGAACUCAGGAUUGAGAAACUCACUCAAAACCACCAACUACAUGGAAACUGAACAACCUGUUCCUGAGUGACUACAGGGUAAAUAAAAUUAAUGCAGAAAUGAAGAAGUUCUCUGAAAUCAAUGAGAACAAAGAAACAAUUUACCAGAUUCUCUGGGACGCAACUAAUGCAGUGUUAAGGGAGAAAUUUAUACCACUAACUGCCCAUGUCAGAAAGCAAAAAAAGUCCAAAAUUGACAACUUAGUAUCAUAAUUAAAAGAAUUAGAGAAGCAAGAGCAAACACAUUCAAAAGCUACAAGAAGUAAGAAAUAGGUAAAAUCAAAGCAGGAUUGAAGAAGGUAGAGACACAAAAAACCCUUCAAAAACUCAGUGAAUACACCAGAUUUUUUCAAGAUUAACAAAAUAGACUCAUAGCUAGACUAACAAAUAAUAAAAGAAGAAUCAAAUAUACACAAUAAAAAUGAUAAAGGAGAUAUCACCACUGAUCUCACGGAAAUACAAACUACCAUCAGGGAAUACUAUAACCACCUCUACACAAAUAAACUAGAAAAUCUAAAAGAAAUUGAUAAAUUCCUGGACACAUACUCCCUCCCAAGACUAAACCAGGAAGAUGUGAAAUCCGUGAAUAGACCAAUAACAAGUUCUGAAUUUGAGGCACUCAUGAAUAGCCUACCAACUAAGAAAAGCCCAGGACCAGAUGGAUUCACUGUCAUGUUGUAACAGAUGUAUAAAGAGAAGUUAGUACUAUUCUUUCUGAAACUAUUCCAAACAAUAGAAAAAGGGGGAUUCCUCCCUAACUCAUUUUAUGAGACCAGAAUCAUCCUGAUACCCAAACCAGGAAAAGACAAAACAAUAAAAAUAUCAAGCCAAUAUACCUGAUGAACACCAAUGAAAAAUUCUCAAUAAAAUAUCAUCAAACCAAAUCCAGCAACAUAUCAAAAAGCUUAUCCGCCAUGAUCGAGUUGGCUUCAUCCUUUUGGUGCAAGCCUGGUUCAACAUACACAAAUCAAUAAAUGUAAUCUAUCACAUAAACAGAACAAAUGACAGAAACCACAUGAAUAUCUCAAUAUAUCCAGAAAAUGCCUUCAAUAAAAUUCGACAUCCCUUAAUGUAAAAAACACUCAGUAAACUUGAUAAUGAUGGAACAUAUCUCAAAAUAAUAAGAGCUAUUUAUGGCAAAUCCACAGCCAAUAUUAUACCAAAUGGGCAAAACCUGGAAGUAUUCCCUUUGAAAAAUGGCACAAGACAAGGAUGUCCUUUCUAACCACUCCUAUUUAACAUAAUAUUGGAAGUUCUCAGCACUGCAAUCAUAAAAGAGAAAGAAAUAAAAGUUAUUUAAAUAGAAAGAGAGGAAGUCAAAUUUUCUGUGUUUGCAGGUGACAUGAUCAGCCCAAUAACUCCUUAAACUGAUAAACAACUUUAGUAAAGUCUCAGGGUACAAAAGUGAUGUUCAAAAAGUACAAGCAUUCCUUUACAACUACAACAGAUAAGCAGAUAGACAAAUCCAGAAUAAACUCCCAUUCACAAUCAAUACAAAAAGAAUAAAAUACCUAAGAAUAUAGCUAACAAGGGAUGGGGAGGACCUCUUUAAGCAGAACUACAAACCACUCUUCAAGGAAAUGAGAGCGGACACAAACAAAUGGAAAAAUAUUACAUUCUCAUAGAUAGUAAGAAUCAAUAUCCUGAAAAUGGUCAUACUGCCAAAAGUAAUUUAAGAUUCAAUGCUACUCCCAUCAAACUACCAUUGGCAUUCUUCACAGAAUUAAAAAAAAACUAUUUUAUAUUUUAUUUGGAAUCAAAGAAGACCCCCAAUAGUCAAGACAAUUCAAAGCAAAAAGAACAAAGCCGGAGUCAUCAUGCUGUAUGACUUCAAACUAUACUACAAGGCUACAAAACCAAAAAGCAUGGCACGUCUAACAAUGUAGCAGAACAGAGGCCUCAAAAAUUACAACACACAUCUACAGCCAUCUGAUCUUUGACAAACCUGAUGAAAACAAGUAAUGGGGAAAUUAUCUCCUAUUCAAGAGAAUGGUACGGGAAAACUGGCUAGCUAUAUGCAGAAAACGGAAACUGAAUCCCUUCCUUACACCUAUAUAAUUAACUCAAGAUGGAUUAAACACUUAAAUGUAGCCAUCAAAACCAUAAAAAAAAAAUUAGAAGAAAGCCUAGGCAACACCAUUCAGGACAUAGGCAUGGGCAAAUACUUCAUGAAAAAAAUUCCAAAAGCAAUUGCAACAAAAGCCACAAUUGACAAAUGGAACCUAAUUAAACUAAAGAGUUUCUGCACAACAAAAGAAACUAUCAUCAGAGUGAACAGGAAACCUACAGGGUAGUAGAAAAUGUUUGUAGUCUACACAUCAGAUAAAGGUCUAAUAUCCAUAAUUUUCAAGAAACAUAAAGAAAUUUUCAAGUGAAAACAACCCCACCAAAAAGUGGGCAAAACAUAUGAUCAGAAACUUCUCAAAGGAAGACAUUUAUGCAGCCAACAAACAUAUGAAACAAAGCUCCACAUCACUGAUUAUUGGAGAAAUGCAAAUCCAAACCACAAUGAGGUACCAUCUCACAAUAGUCAGAAGGGCAAUUAUUGAAAAGCCAGGAAAUAAGAGAUACUGGUGAGGUUGUUGAGAAAUAACAUGACCCUGAGGAACCAGAAGUUAACAAAUAUAUUAAGAUUUGAACAUCUAAGCUAAUGACAAUAAAAAUAUGUCACACCAGGACAUGUAGAAUAAAGCAAAUGCAGUACUGAGACUGUUUAUAUCAACAAACACCCAUAUCAGGUAAAUAGAAAGUUUUUAAAUUCUAAAAACCUAAUGAUGCAUAGCAAAUAAUUUAAAAAGGAGAAAAACCCUAACUCAAAUGACUAAAAGUAUAAUUCUUUCUUGUAAUACAAAGAUAAAAUAAAUGCUUGAAGAUGAAUAUCUCACUUACCCUGAUGUGAUUCUUUUGCAUUGUAUGCUUAUAUAAAAAUACGGCAUAUACUCUAUAUGCACAUGAUUUCCCUGUACAGAUGAGCAGAUAGUCAUGUUUAGAAAAUUCAAACUAAUGUAAGGUAACACAAAUAGGAAUUUAGAUUUAUAUCAGAAAAGCUAUUCAAAGAUAUGUAUAUAAUUAAAAACAAGCAAGCAAAAACUCUGUAGCUGAAAAAUACAAUUGUCGUGCUAAAGAAUCUAUGAAAAUUAUUUAAUAACAAAAAAUCAAGUGGAAUAAUUAGUGAGUUUAAAGACAGACUAUUAAAAAUGUACAGUAAAAUAAGACAAAAUAAUAAAUAAUAAUAAAAUAAUAUAAUGCAUCUGUAGGAUUUAUAAUGUAGCCUCAAAAAAAACAAAUGUAAGAAUUAUUGGCCAUAAAGUAGAAGUAGACAAAGAAAUAGAGAUACAAAGUGUUUUUAGAAAGGCUGGGUGUAGUGGCUCAUGCCUGUAAUUUCAGCACUUUAAGAGGCUGGUGGCGUGUGUAUCACUUGAGGCCUGGAGUGCGAGACCAGCCUGGCCAACAUGAUGAAACCCCAUCUCUACAAAAAUACAAAAAUGAGUUUGUCAUGGUGGCAUGCACCUGUAGUCCCAGCUACUACAGAGGCUAAGGCAGAAAAUUACUUUAACCCAUGAGGUGAAGAACUAAUGACAAUACUACUCAAAUUAUUCUAAAAAAUAGAGGAGAAGAAUAUAACUUCCAAACUCAUUUUGUGUAGCCUGUAUUAUACUUAUACCAAAACCAAAGGCACAUUCAAACAAGAAAACUACAGGUUAACAUAUCUGAUAAAUUUUGAUAUGAAAAUCCUCAAUCAAAUACUAGAACACUGAAUUCAACCAUACAUUACAAAGAUCAUUCAUCAUGAUUGAGUAAAAUUUAUCUCUGUGAUGCAAGCAUAAUAUGUCACCAUAUACAAAUCAGUGUGAUGAAUCAAUCUGUUGAUAUAACAAAAUAAAAAUAUCAGUGAAAAUAUAAUUCAGAUUAAAAAUAGAUAAUCAUCAUAAUAUAAAUGUGUUUAUUUGGAAAGAUUUAAAAUUGAAAAUCCAUUAGCUAGACAAAGAAAAAACAAGAACAAAAAAUAAGUAAAGCCAUUAACCAAGUGCAAGAAAUCAUUAGAAACUAUUAUGAAUAACUAUAUACACAAACAAGUUAAAAACCCAAGGGAAAUUGAUAAAUUUCUACACUUAGAUAGCUUACUCAGAUUGAAGAAGAAAGAAUUAAUAAAAACCAGAACAGAAAAGGGCAUGAAGAGAUGGAGAGAAAGAUGGCAGAAUCAAAGGCUCACCAACAUGACCUCACCAACAUGACCUCACUCACAUUACUAACAAUUGUAAAAGUAGAAUAAAAUAAAAUAAAGUAAAAUAAAGUAUGAAUGAUAUCAACAUUGAUUCAUCUCACUGAUUGAUUUGUAUAUGGUGAUUAUACGAUAAUUCCAUUGAUACCAAAAAUGCAUUUCAUUACAUUCAACAUCUCUUCAACAUAAAAACCUCAGACACUGGGGAGAGAAAAACGUACCUCAAUAAAACCACAUAAGCCUACAGGUAUUAUUAUGCUUAGUAGGGAAACACUGAAAGCCUUUUAUCUAAGAUCUAGUAUAUGACAAGAAUACCCACUGUGGCCCACUUUUAUUCAACAUAAUAUUGGAAGUCCUAGUUAGAGCAAUGAGACAAGAGAAAGAUACAAAAGUUUCUAAAUUGGAAAGAAAUAAGUCAAAUUAUCCUUGCUUACAGAUUAUAUAAUCUCACAUUUGGAAAAACCUAAAGACUCUUAUUGGAAUGAAUAAACAAAUUUAGUAAAGGUGCAGUAUACAAAAUUAACAUACAAAAUUAGUAGCAUAUCUAUAUGCCAACAGGAAACAAUGUGAAAAUAAAAUUUAAAAAGUAAUUGCAUUUGCAAUAGCCACACAGAAAAUUAAAUACUUAGGGAUUAACUUUACCAAAGAAGUGAAAUAUCUCUGUAAUAAAAACUAAAACACUGAUGAAAUAAACUGAAAAAAACACCAAAAUAACUGAAAAAUAUUACACAUUCAAAAACUGGAAGACUCAAUAUUGCUAAAAAGUCAAUACUACCCAAAGCAAUCUACAGAUUCAAUACAUUCUCUCUCAAAACACCAAUGAUAUUCUUAAAAGAAAUAUUAAAAAUUAAUUAUAAAAUGUAUAUAAAACCACAAAAAACCCAGAAUAGCUAUUCUAUACAAAAAUUUAAAAAAAAAAUCACAUUAUGACUUUGAUUUAUACUACAGAGCUAUGGUAACCAAAACAACAUGAUACUAACAUAAAAAUAGACACAUAGACCAAUGGAACAGAAUAGAGAACCAAGAAACAAAUCUAUGCUCCUACAGAAAACACAUUUUCAACAAUGGUGUGAAGAACAUAUACUGGGGAAAGAGACAGUUUUUUUUUAAAUAAAUGUUGCUCAAUUAACUGGAUAUCCAUAUGCAGAAAAAUGAAACUAGACACCUAUCUCUCACCAUGUACAAAAAUCAAAUCAUAAUGAAUUAAAAUUUAACCUAUGACCUUAAACUCUUAAACUACAACAAAAUAAACUUUGUGGACAAACUCUGGAACAUGGGUCUCAGGAAAAAUUAUGUGUUUAAUACUUCAUAAGCACAAAAAGGCAACCAAAGCAAAAAUAAACAAAUGUUAUCACAUCAAGUUAAAAGCUUCUGCUCAGAAAAAAAAGGAAGAGGGAAGGGGAUAACCCAUGAAACCUGAAAGAAUAUUUGCACACUACCCACCUGACAAAAGAUUUGUAACCAAAAUAUAUAAAGUGCUGAGACAAAGAUAUAGGAAAAAAAAAAAUCUAAUAACCUGACUAAAGAAUGGGCAAAAUAUUUGAAUAGGCAUUUCUCAAGAGUAAACAUAUGAGUAGCAAAUAGACAUAUAAAAAGUUGCUAACCUUCACUGAUCAUCAGAGAAAUGCAAAUAAAAGCUACAAUGAGAUAUUAUAUCACUCCAGUUAAAACGGCUGAUACAAAAAGAAAAAAAACAGGCAGUAACAAAUGCUGACAGUAAUGUGGAGAAAUGUGAACACUUGUACACUCUUGCUGGGAAUGUAAAGUAGUACAGACACUAUGGAGAACAUUUGGGAGAUUUUUUAAAAAGCUAAAAAUCGAGCUGUUGUAUGAUCUAACAAUCUCACUCCUGGUUAUAUACCCCAAAGCAAGAAAAUUCAUAUUAUCAAAAAGACAUAUGCACACCUGUGUUUGUUACAACAUUGUUUACAAUCACUAAGAUUUGGAGGCAGCCUAAGUAUUCAUCAAAAGAUGAGUGAGUAAAAAAGUGGUACAUAUACACAAUGGAGUACUAAUACUAAUAAGCCAUAAAAUAUAGCAUGCUUUCAUUUGCAACAACAUAGAUGGAUGUCAUAUUAUUAUUUUAAGUAAAAUACAGCAGGAACAGAAAGGCAAAACAUUACACAUUUUCUUUAUUUGUGAAACCUAAUAAAGCAAUUGAACUUAUGAACAUAGUGAGUAGAGGGCUGUUUACCAGAGGCUGGAAAGAAUAAUAGGAAGCUGAUCAGGAGGUGGAGAUGUUUAAGCCAUAAAAAGAAAAUAGAAAAAAUUAAUAAGACCUACUCUUUGAUAGCACACAAAGUGAUUAUAGCCAAUAAUAGCUGUGCAUUUAAAAGUAACAAAAGAGAGUAAAUGGGUUGUUUGCUACUCAAUGAAUAAAAUGCUUGGCAUAAUGUAUAAUCUAGUCUUCAUGAUAAAAUUAUUUCAAAUUUAAUGUCUAUUUCAAAAUAGCUCAGAUAUUCCAUAAAUGUAUACCCCAACUAUGUACCUACAAAAAUUAAAAAGAAAAUAAAAAUUAUAAAAAUAAAAUAAUUUUAAUCUAAAAUAAAAAAUAAAUAAAACUUGAACAUACCAAAAAUUAAUUUAAAUAGUAAGUUAUUAUAUAAGUAUCUCAACAAAAUAAAUCUGAAGGCUUUAGUGAUAAAUGGCUUUAGUGAUAAAUUUUACCAAACAUUAGUACAGAAUUCAUAUAAAUCAUUGGGUUAUUCCAAAAAAUAAAGACUGUUUCCUAAAUAAUUCUAUGUGGCUAGAAUUAUCCUAAUACCAAAAUGAAACAAAGACAUAAUAAAAGAUAAAACUUCAAGUCAGUAUCUUUAAUGAACACUGAUGCAAACUCCUCAAUAAAAUAUUAUCAAAACAAAAAAUAAGAUAAUAUAACAUGGUAAACUGGUAUUUUUCACAGGAAUGUAAACAAAAUUCAACAUAGAGAUAUUGUAAAAUGUGAUACAUCACAUCAGCAGAAUAAUCAUCAUAACAAUACAAUAAUCUCAAUAUAUGUAGUACAUUGAGCUCAUAUCUUAAAGCAUUUGAUGAAAUUCAACAUAUUUUCAUAAGAAAUAUUUCCAAAAAUUUAGUAUGUAACAUACAUCAACCUAAUAAAAACUACAUAUGAUAAACCCACAUUUCAGUAAAGGGGGAAAGGUUAAUUUUUUUUUGACUUCUCUAGUAACUCCAAUAAGACAAGGUUGCCUACUUUCAUCACUUGUUCAACACAGUAUUGAAAGUAUUCGCCAGAGGACUUAGGAAAUAGAAAUAAAUAUGGAACAUUUAAAUUAGAAAAGGGAAACUUAAAUUACCUCUCUUUGCAGAUGACAUAAUUCUAUACAGUUAAACAAUUAAACUAAAUACUCUACCAAAGAAACCAUUACAACUGAUAGACAAAUUUAGUAAACAUACAGGAUAUAAAAUCAACAUAUAAAAAUUGGCCAUGUUUCUAUAUACCAACAGCAUUCAAUUUGAAAACAAUAAAUAAAUCGUAGCAAGAAAUCAAUUCAAACAAAAAGAUAAAAAAAAUUCUGAAAUAAACACCACAAAAUGCUAACAAAAGAAAUUAAAAGGACACAAAUAUGAAAUACAUGGGAUUAUAGUUUGUGAAAAAUGUUAAAAUAAUUAUAUUAUCCAAAACAAUUUAUAGAUCAAAUUAAAUCUCUGUCAAAAUAACAAGAUUUUUAUAUAAGUAGAUAAAACAAUCAUUAAAUUUUAAUGGCACCACAGAAGAACCUGAAUAUCAAAAAAUCUACUGAGCAGAAAUACAAAGCUGGAUGAAUCACAGUAUCUGACUUUAAAAUUGACAAAAAAGCUGUAGUUACCAAAACAGCAUGACAUAGGUGUAAGUACAGACAUAUAGACAAUUGAGGGAGAACAGAGAAAUAAAAUAAAUAAAUUCGCACAUUCUCAACUUAGAUUAUUCAACAUGGCCUGAAAAACAUUCUUUGGAUGAAAGAAUAGUGUGUUUAAUAAAUUGUGUUGGAAAUACUGAAUAUGCAGAGAAAUAAAAUUCUUACUUUUUUAAAAGGCUUACAUUUCACCCUUUAUGCAAAAAUCAACUAAACAUGGAUUAAAGACUUAAACAAAACUGGCUUGGAGCGGUGGCUCAUGCCUAUACUCCCAGCACUUUGGGAAACUGAGGUGGGUGGAUCACCUGAGGUUGGGAGUUCAAGACCAGCCUGACCAACAUGAUGAAACCCCAUCUCUACUAAAAAAAUUAAAAAAACAAAAAUAAUUAGCCAGGUGUGGUGGCAGGUGCCUGUAGUCUCAGCUACUCAGGAGGCUGAGGCAGGAGAAUGGCAUGAACCCGGGAGGUGGAGCUUGCAAUGAGCCGAGAUGGCACAACUGCACUCCAGCCUGGGCAACAGAGCAAGACUCCAUCUCAAAAAAUAAAUAAAUAAAUAAAAAAGAAAAGACUUUAAACAUAAGUUUCUGAUCUAUAAAACUACCACAAAAAUAGAAGAAACACCUCAAGACAUUAGUUUAGUCAAAUGUUUCAUGAAUAAGACUUUAAAAGCAGAAGCAGCAAAAUGAAAAAUCAAUGCACUUCACCACAUUGUACUGCAAAGUAUUUUCAUAGAAAAUAGAACAAUAAAUUAAGAAAUUUGCUAUUGGACUAAUAUCCAGAAUAUACUAGAAACUCAUUAGCAAAAAACAAAACAAAUUGAUUUUUAAAAAAUGGACAAAGAGGCCACGCAUGAUGGUUCACUCCUGUAAUCCCAGCACUUUGGGAGACCGAGGCAGGUCAGGAGUUCAAUACCAACCUGCCCAAGAUAGUGAAACUCCGUUUCUAUUAAAAAUACAAAAAUUAGCUGGUCAUGGUGGUGGGUGCCUGUAAUCCCAGCUACUAGUGAGGCUGAAGCAGAGAAUUGCUUGAACCUGGGAUGCGGAGGUUGCAGUGAGGCAAGGUCAUGUCACAGCACUCCAGCCUGGGUGACAGAGAGAGACUUGGUCUCAAAAAAAAAAAAAAAAAAAAUUGACAAAGAAUCUGAUUAGGCAAUUCUCAAAAGAAGAAAUGCACGUUCUCCUCAAAAGCGGAUAUACGAAUACUCCCAUUAAUAUCAGAAGUGUUAUGCUUAUCACCAUAAAAUAUAAAUUAAGACAAAAGUGAGAUAUUUUCUCACUUUAGUGAAAAUAGCUAUCAGUAAAAAGAUUAAAAAAUUGUCGAAUGACCAUGAGGUUGUGGACAGAAAGAAAUAUUUAUACUGCAGGUGAGAGUGUAAAUUAGCACUGUUCUUAUAUUUUUUAAGUGUUGAGUGUUUACAAAAUACUAAAAUUACAACCGCCAUAUGAUUCAGAGAUCCCACUACUGAGUAUUUAUUCAAGGUAACGAAAAUCAGUUUACAAAAGAAAAAAAAAUCUGUUUUUACAUGCUUAUUGCAGCUCUAUUUACAAUAGCCAGGAUAAAAAAAAUCAACUACAAAUUUUAUCAACAUGAGUACAUAAAAAUGUGGUAUAUUUACACAAUAGUUAAUUAUUUGGUCAUAUAUAGAACAAAAUGAUGACGUUUGUGCCAACAUGGAGGACACCAUAAGAUGUUAUGCUAUGUGAAAUAAGCCAGUCACAGAAAUAAAAAAACUGCAUUAUGUCACUCACAUUUGAGAGCUUGAUAAAGGUUGAUUUUAUAAAAGUAUUGAGUACAAUAGUGGUUAACAAAAUAUAUGAAGUGGAAAGGAAGGAAAGAAAGUAGUUGUCUUAUUUGUUAUAAAUUUAGAAUUUGACAAUAAAAAUAAUUUCUAGUGUUCUAUCACAUAGUCCUUGAUUAUGAUAAACAAUAAAGUUCUAUAUAUUUCAAAAUAGCAAAAAAAGUGAGUUUUGAAUAUUCUCACCACAAGAAAAUAACACAUAAUUAAGUUAAUGGAUAUAUUAAUUACCCUGAUUUAAUCAUCACAUAAUUACAUAUAUUAAAACAUCACAUUUUUAACCUAUACAUGUAGAAAAUUAUGUGCCAAUUUAAACAAAAUAAAACUUUACUUUCAUUAUCAUAUGUUGUCUAUAUUUACCCAAUGUUGCUGCAAAUUACAGGAUUUUAUUUUUCCUCUGACUAAUAUUCCAUUCUAAUAAUGAAAAUAUUUAUUCUAGUAUUUAUAUACAACCUUAUAUAUAAGAGAGAGACACUCAAAGUACCUGGUUUUAACUUUGUAUCACAGAGCCACUGAAGAGGUCUCAAAUUACUGGUGUCAUUCCUCCAUCACUCUAUGGCAGUAUGGUAUGCUGAAGGAAUAUCUCUGUGUGCUGGGGAAGAGAAAACAGGAAUUUUGAAGCAAUAAACUGAGUGCUGUCCUGUUAGAGCAAAAAGGAAAAAAAUGAACCAAACUCAGCAGAUGCUAAGUCAUAAAGGGAGCAUUUAAUCCAGCCCAAGUUAGAGGGGAAUUGGCAAUUCCAGCAGUACAAACUGGAGUUUUUACCUACCUCACUACUGAGGGUUAAAAUGCUCUGGGUUUCUAAGUAAACCUGAAAGGCAGUCUUCAAGGACUUUUAUAAGGACCACAACUCUUAUGCAAAUUCUAGUGUUGAACUAAGCUCAGAGACAGUGGACUGGGGAAUCAAGAUCUACCGAAACCCCCAGCUGGAGUGGUUAAGAGAGUGAGGGCAUCAUUGCUCUCCUAAUCACAGGCUGCACAGCUAAUAGAUAAAAAAGAGAUCUCUGCCAGGCGCAGUGGCUCAUGCCUGUAAUCCUGGCACUUUGGGAGGCCAAGGCAUGCGGAUCAUGAGAUCAGGAGUUUGAGCUAUCCUGGCUAACACGGUGAAACCCUGUCUCUACUAAAAAUACAAAAAAUUAGCCAGGCGUGGUGUCAUGCACCUGUAGUCCCUGCUACUUGGGAUGCUGAAUCAGGAGAAUCUCUUGAACUGGAAGGCAGGGGUUGCAGUAAGCCGAGAUUGCCUGCAUUCCACCCAGGGUGACAGAGCAAGACUCUGUCUCAAAAAAAAAAAAAAAAAAGAGAGAGAGAGUGAGAGAGACAGCUUUCUUCCAAUUCGAAAGAGAAGAGAGAAGAAUAUGGAUAACUUUGUUUUCCAUCUUGUAUACCAGCUCAGCUCAGCCACAACAGGAUAGGGAACUGGUCAGAGUCAUGAGGUUUCUUUUUUAGGACCUAGCUUCUGAAUAACAUCUCUAGCUAUGUUGGACCAUAAAAGACAUGCUGCCUUUUAGGAAAGCACCAAGUUAUGGCCACAUUCAUCAGAUGUUAACUGAGGAGCCCUUGGGCUCUAAAUAACCAUCAAUAGGUACAGCAUCAGAGGUGUUGGGUGAGCCUCUGAGACUAAGUGGCUUCAGGUGACACACAGCAAAUUCCACAUGACAUCUAUGGGGCAAAAUUCCUUCUGUGUGAUAAAAAGCAAAGGGAAAUGUAAAGAAGACAUUUUUCUUGCAGCUUAGGUGCCAGCUAGGCGACAGCAGGGUAUAGCACCAAGCAAAUUAUUGAGUAAUUCUAUUCUAUGACUCUUGAAGGUCAUUUCUAGACUUUCUCUGGAUCACAAGGGAGCCUUCUGAUCAGAAACCUGAGUCUCAGGCCUGGAAGCGACAAUUACAAGAUGGCCUAAGAGCCCUUGAGCCUUCAGGGAACAUUGGUAGUAGUGCAGAAAUACUUCCUGAAACCUGGGGUCAUGGUGAUCAUAGAAUGAGAAUCCUCUGCCUCUUAUAAAAAGGAAGAAAGACUUAGGAGAAUUGCAUCCUGUGUUUUAAGUGCCAGCUCAACCUCAGUGUAACAGAACACAAGUUAGGCUUCUAAAAUUUUGACUCUAGUUUCUAACUACAAAAUAAUAACAACUGGGGCCUGGGAGAUCUUGACAGCCUGAUGGGAAGAACAUAUACCUGACUGGCUUCAGCAUUUGCUGACUGUAGAGUCCAAAGAUCUUGAGUGAAAAUAGGCAGUAGUCAAGAAGUGCUUACAGAAGGCUUUGGUUGAGACUCAGUGCUUUGCUUGCUUCAGGGUUAAGUCCACAUAGUCAUAGUGAUAGAGGCCACAUGAAUGAUGCUGUUACUCUACCCAAGCUUCAGGAGGUUCAAAACAGAGAAUGAGAUUCUCUUUGAGAGAAGUUAUAAAAACAGAAUGAGAAUAAUACAAUGAUUUUUUGCAGCAACACGAAUGUAGCUAGAGGUCAUUAUUCUGAGUGAAGUCCAUAGGAGUGGGACACAUGAAUUCACUCUGUAUGCCUUUGAAUACUCGUAGCUUAGGUCCCACUUAUAAGUGAAAACAAUUAAGAGUGGGAUCUAAGCUACGAGUAUGCAAAGGCAUACAGAGAAACAAAAUGGAAUUUAGAGACUCAGAAGGUGAAGGUUGAAAGGGGAUUCAGGGAUUUUUCACAAAACUACAUACUAGGUAAAAUAUACACUACUUGGGUAUAUCUAGCUACUUGGCUACUUGGGUGUUGGAGACACUAAAAUAUUAGAAUUCAUCACUAUAUACUUAUUCAGUUAACUAAAAAACACAUAUCUCCCAAAGUAUUGAAAUAAAAUAUAAAUACAUUCAAAUAAAAUAAACUAACAUCCUAAAUUAUUAAUGGGUCAAAAAGUGAGAAUAAAGUGGAAAUUUUCUCAAAUCAAAUGAUAGUGGAAACAUAUUAUACCCAAACUUAUGAAAUACAGCAAAAUAAAUACUAAAAGGAAGGCUUGUAGGUAUGCAUUUAUAUAUGAAUAAAGGGGAAAAACUUCAAAUAAACAACCUAACAAUGUAUCUUAAAGAACUAGAACACCAAGAGAAAACCAACCCCUAAAUUAGUAGAAAAAAAGAAAUACCAAAGAUCACAGCAUAAACAAAUAAAAUUGAAAUAGAGAAGACAAUAGAAAAGAUUACUUUUUAAAAGUUUUUUUUGCAUAGUAAAUAAAAUUGAUAAAUUUAGCCAGACUAAGAAAAUAAGAGAUAAUAGCAAAAAAUUAAAAAUAAAAAGUGAAAAAAGACAUUAUAACAGAUAUUGCAGAAAUUCAAGGUAUUAUUAGGUCUACUAUGAGCAACAAUAUGCCAAUAAAUUGAAAAUUCUAGAAAGAAUGGACAAAUUUCAUGACUUACAGAAUCCAUCAAGUUUGAACCAGGAAGAAAUUCAAAACCGGAAUAGACCAAUAACAAGUAAUGAGAUAAAAACCAUAAUGUAAAUAUGUCUGUAAAGAAAAGCACAGUAAAGUACAGCCUUCAAUGCUAUAAUCUACCAAACUUUUAAAGAAAAACUAAUAUUAAUUCUACUCAAAUUAUUCUGAGGAAUAGUGGAGAAUGGAAUUACUCCAACUAAUUAGAUAAAGCCAAUAUUACCCUGAUACCCAAACCAGACAAAGACACAUCUAGAAAAUAAUACCACAGGCCAAUAUCUCUGAUGGCUAUUGAAGCAGUAACCCUCAAUAAAAUACUAGCAAACAAAAUUCAACAAUAUAUUAAGAGCAUCAUAUAUCAUGACCAAGUGGGAUUUAUUCCUGGAAUAAAAACAUGAUUUAAUGUAUGCAAAUCAAACAGUCUGCUAUAUCAUUUCAAUAAAAGAAAGGAUAAAUUUUAUAUAAUUUCAAUUGAUGGUGAUAAAGCAAUUGGUUAAAUUCAACAUCCUUCAAGACAAAAAUCCUCAAAAAACAGCAGAAAAAAGAAACAUACCUCAACAUAAUAAAAACCUUAUAUGACAGACUAAAAAAUAUUCAGUAUUGUACUGAAUGGGGAAAAACUGAACAUAUUUUAUCUAUAAUCUACAAUACAACAAAGUUGCCCACUGUGACCACUAUUAUUCAACGUAGUACUGGAAGUUCUAUCUAGAGAGAUCAGACAAGAGAAAUAUAUGAAAGACAUUUAAGUGGGAAGAGAAUAAUUCAAAUUAUUCUACUUUGCAGGUGAUAUAAUCUCAUAUUAGAAAAAAAACUUAAGGACACCACAAGAAAACUAUUAGAGCUGAUAAACAAAUUGGGUAGAGUUGUAGUAUAUAAAAUUAACAGACACAAAUCUGAAACAGUAAACAAUCUGAAAAAGAAAUAAGAAAUCAUCUUAUUUUCAAUAGUCACACAUAAAAUUAAAUACUUAGAAAUUAACCAAAGAAGUGAAAGAUCUGAAUAAUGAAAAUAGUUGAAGAUGACACUACAAAAUGGUAAAACAUAUUAUGUUCAGGAAUUGUAAGACAAUAUUGUUAAAAUGUCCAUACUACCCAGAGCAAUCUACAGAUUCAAUGUAAUUCCUAACAUAAUACCAAUAAUAUUUUUGAAAUAAAUGAAAAAAUAAUUUUAAAUUUUACAUGGAACCACAAGAGACUCAGAAUAGCUAAACCUGUCCUUAGAAAAAAGAACAAAAUUAGAUAAAUCAAAUUAUCUGACCUCAAAUUAGAGUCCUGAGCCACAGUAAGUAAAACAGCCUUAAAUAGCCAGUUUACUAGCAUAAAAUAGAAACACAGAAAAAUGAAAAUGAAUAGAGAACCUGAAAAAAAUCCACACAGCUACAGUAAACUAAUUUGGACAAAUGUGCCAAGAACAUCCACUGAGGAAAACAUACACCCUAUUAAAUGAAGAUGCCAAGAAAUCUGGGCUUCCAUAUGUGCAAUAAUAAAAAUGAGACUUCUACUUUUGGCCAUAUAUAAAAACUGAAUCAAAGUGAAUUAAAGCCUUAAGUCUACAACCUGAAACUCUGAAAUUACAAAAAAAAGACUUGGGAAAAUCUCCAGGUUAUUAAUAUGAAAAAAAUAUUGCUUUUUUUUGAGAUAGGUUGUCACCCAUGCUGAUGUACAGUGGCAAGAUCAAAGCCCACGGCAAUCACCAUCUCUAAGGCUAAAGCAAUCUCCUGUCACAGCCUUUGAGAAGCUGGGACUACUGGCACAUAUCACCACAUACCAUGGAAAUUUUUGUGUGUGUGUGUUCACUUUUGUAGAGAUGGGGUUACAUCAUGUCCUCAGGUUGGUUUUGAAUUCUUGUGCUCAAGAAAUCCAUAUAAGUUAGCCUUGCAAAGAGCUAGUAUUAUAGGUAUAAGCCACCCUGCCUGACCAAAGAUUUCCUCAGCAAUUCCCCAGAAGCACAAGCAACCUAACCAGAAAUGGACGUCUGGAAUCAACAUGCAGUUGAAAAGUUUCUGCAGGGGAAAAAUUUAAAAAUCAACAAUGUGUAGAGAUUAUUCACAGAAAUAGAAGAAAUAUUUGUAACUUACCCAUCUGACAAAGGAUUAAUAAUCACAAUAAAUAAAAAUCUCAAACAAUCUAUAGGAAAAAAUUUAUAGGAAAAUCUUAUAAUUUGGUCAAAAUAUUUGAAAAACAUAUUUCUCAAAGGAAAACAUACAAAUGUGACCAGGUAUAUCAAAAAGUGCUCAAGAUCAUUAAUUAUCAGAAAAAUCCAAAUUAAAAUUACAAUAAGAUAUCAUCUCAAUCUAGUUAAAAUGGGUUUUAUUCAAAAGACUUUCAAUAACAAAUUCUGCUGAGAAUUUGAAGAGUGUGAAAUGUGCUCACAUUCAAGGAGCAGUGUCCCAAAGUUGUGCAGAGCUGAAAGUCCUUGAAUAUGGUCCAUGAAACAACCAUUUAUCUUUGCUAAGCUUCUGUGUCUGUGGUAAAAGAGGCUCUCUGAAAUAUCUUAGAGGUUUUUUCCCCAUUGUCUUGGAUACUAACACUUAGCUCCUUUUUGCUUUACUGCAGCAUCUUAAAUUUCUUCUCUGAAAAAGAGCUUUGCUUUUCUACCACUUUGCAGGCUGCAAGUUUUCCAAACUUUUAUGCUGUAUUACUUUUUUUAACAUAAGUUUCAGUUUCAUGUCAUCUGUUUGCUCAUGCAUAUGAGCUUAGGUUGUUAGAAGCAUCCAGGUGACAUCUGGAGCACUUUCUGCUUAGAAAUUUUUUUCACCACAUACCCUAAAUUUUUCCACCACAGACUCUAAGUCACCAUACUCAACUUCAGAGUUCCACAUAUCCCUAGGGCAGGGGUACAAUGCAUUAUCAAGGGUACCUUGCUAAUGUGUAACAAAUAUGACAUUUGCUCUGCUUCCCAAUAAGCUCCUUAUUUCCAUGCAUGAUCUCCUCAGUGUCUACUUCAUUUUCCCUAUCACUAUCAGCACAUUGGUCACAACAAUUUAGUAACACUCUAGGAAGUCCCAAACUUUUCCUUAUCAUCUUCUGAGACCUCCACACUCUUCUAACCUAUGUUAGUUAUUUAAUUCCUAUGUGGCUUCCAUAUUUUCAGGUAGCUUCAUAGCAAUACCCUACUGCUCCAUACCAAUACUCUGUAUAUAGUCUGUUUUCCCAGCAAUACAGAGUUUUGGUAUUAUCUUAGACACAUUUAAGAAUAAUGCCCACUAGUUUCUACAUUUCCUCUCAUAAAUUUUAACUUUUAACUGAAAUGGUAAUGAUCUAUAUAAUUUAUAUAUCCUAUAUAAUGAUAUAUUUACAUUGUAUCAUUUUAAAGCAUACACUUGGGGGUUUUUAAUUGUUUCACAAUGUUUUUUCACUGCAAUUACUAAUUUAAAAAUAUUUUUAUUACCCUGAUACAAAAUUUUCCUACAAACAGGCUGAGGGCAGCAGGAUGGAAGCCUGCAAAUGUUCUGACCAGGCUGCACCACAGCAGAGCGAAAAGCACCUGGAUAGCCUGAUGGGCAAAAUUGCCUUUCUGAAGAAAUUUCACUAAGAGGAGAUCCAUCCACUUGCAGGGGCAGAUCCAGUAUGUGCAGAUCUCCAUAGAGAUAAACAUGUUCACCAAUCUCAACCUCACCUCUUUGCUGGAGGUCAUCUGCCCACAGUAGGGAAAGAUGGCUGCCAAGAGCAUGCAGAGCAUGCAGAGGAGUGCUUUAAGAGCCCUUUAGACUGCUGAGCCAGAGCACUGUCAAGAGGGUCUAUGCCAUGCAAGGCACCAGAAACAAGGUGUCUCAGAGCCACUACCUGCUCAAGACCAAGAACUUGGAGAUCAAAGCAUGCUAGGGCAUGAAGGAAGUAAUGGAGAUAUAGCUGCAGGAGCCAAAGGACAAGUUGAACACCUACAUCAGUAGUGUGCAGGCCAUCAUCCACAAAUUAGAAAAUGAAUUGAAGAUGGCAAAGUUAAACAUCUGGAUACCUAAAUGAAUACCAAGUCCUCCAGGUGAAGAUGGCUCUUUGUAUUGAGGCUGCAGCUCAGAGGAAACCCUUCAAAGGCAAGGAGACCCAGCUGAGUUUCAGCAGCAUGGGAAGCACACUGCUUCCAGACCCCCUGGUCUUUGGUUUAUCACCUACUGGGGUUCACAUACCAACUCCUACAUGAUGUCCACCCACUCCUUCCUGUCCUACUACAGUAGCCAUGUGCAAGAGGAGUAGAUCAUGGUGGAGGAAUCCAUUGAGAGUGCUAAGAUUGAGGAAGGCAAAGACUAGUACCCCUCUGAAGAAAAAGCCUAGGAGGAGAAAGAUAAUAAAGAGGAGGAGGAAGAGGUGGCAGGGAAGAGGACUAAGCUGCUAAGGAAGUGUCUAAAGAAGCAAAGGAUAAAGAAGAAAUAGGUCAGGGUGAAGAAGGAGAGGAAAAGCUGAAGAGGAGGAAAAUAAAGUUGAAGGUGCUGGGGAAGAACAAGCAGGAUCGAGGACAUCAAGAUAUGAUGAUCUUACAAAUGGAACUCCAAAUGAGCUCAAGUAACAACUUCUACCAAGGACCCUUGGACCUACUCACUGGCCCUUUGAUUGGACUAAAGAGUUCCCCUCUGGACGACACUACAACUGCAGGGCCCCUUCUUGCCCCUAUCCUAUCUAGAGUGGUCACCACCCAAUUCCCAACAGCAGCUGGGGUUUCCUGUUUAGACAGGGCAUUGAGAAGUGAAGUCAGCUGGACUUCCUGGGUCAAGUGGGGACUUGGAGAAUUUUCUGUCCAGUUAGAGGAUUGUAAACACAGCAAUCAGCACUCUAUAAAAAUGCACCAAUCAGCACUUUGUGUUUAGCUAAAGGAGAGCAAACUCAGCAUUCAGCCCUCUGUUAAAUAGACCAAUCAGUAGGACAUCGGCAGGGAAAAAUAAUGGAAUAAAAGCUGGCCACCCCAGCCAGCAGCAGCAACCCACUUUGCCCCCUUUCACGCUGUGGAAGCUUUGUUCUUUCACUCUUCACAAUACAUCUUGCUGCUGCUCACUCUUUGAGUCUGCAUUACCUUUAUGAGCUGUAACAUUCACUGCGACGGUCUGCGGCUUCAUUCCUGAGGUCAGCAAGACAAUGAACACACCAGGAGGAACAAAAAUUCCAGACAUGCCAACUUUAGCAGCUGUUAACACUCACCAUGAGGGUCUGCAACUUCAUUCCUGAAGUCAUUGAGACCACAAACCCACUAGAAGGAACAAACUCUGGAUAGGCCACAUUUAAGAGCUGUAACACUCACCACGAGGUCCGUGGCUUUAUUCUUGAAGUCAGUGAGAUCAAGAACCCACAAGAAGGAAUAAAUUCCAGACACACUGGGGCCUGCUGCCUUUGCACCUGUUGUUGUUUAAGACUUCUCACUUGUUCCCACAGUUCUACAUUUAGCAUUCCUUCUUCUGGGAACCAUGGGCUUGGGAUCACAACAGUUUGCAUUAUGUCCCUUAAUGAGUCUGCAAAACUGAUGUUAUGGUAGCCUUAAGCAACUAUUUCAACACUUUUAUAUAUUGUUUCUGUUGAGCUGGUAACUGUGUCCCAUGAUGAAAUCUCAGCUUGACUCAACUUCCCCAAGAACUUGGUAACCUUGAGUGAGCAACAAUGACUUACUGAUUAAUUACUCACUUGCUUGACCACAUGGUUCCUUUUUUCACCUUUGUUUUUAAGGGAUCUAUUGCAUUUACUUCAUGCUUCCUUCACAGCUUUCCUCAUGAGAACAGUCCCCACACUUCUUUUGCAGCUUGCCACAAGUGCAAGUGGGGCUCCAAGUGUGGGGGUUUGUUUUUGCAGACCCCUGACACAGGUCCUCACGCAGGUCCCCAUUUGAGGCAGUGCUCCUUUUGCAGAGACACUAGAUGCAGGGAGUCUGUUCCUGCAGACCUCUGAUUUGGCAACAGAAGAAUAAACGUACACUGACACACAGAUAUUCUGCUCUGCCAGUCUAGCUGAAGGCCCAAGCCACUUACAGGCUCCAAGCUGCGUUCUGUAAACGGUUGUGACUCGGCCCUGAUCUGCAGGUAAAGGUCACAUUUAUUCAGUAAGGCGAAUUAACAAAAAUUGUGAGUAAACACCGCUAGAAGAUAAAGAUUAAAAGCUAGGUUCUGAGGCCUAAAGCAAACACCAUUUGUGGGUAAUAAACUUCUGCCGACCCCCUGAGUUGGAGGCAGUAAAGUACUUGAGGUAGGACAAAGGUUAGUCAUAAGCCCAUAUAACUAAACAGGUUAGUAAAAUAAGCUUUCCACAUUCAUUGGUACUGCACCCUAAUCUUUCUGGCUCUUGCAAAGAGACCCUGGCUGCCUUCAGCUGAGCAUUCUGAAGGUAUGCAAACUCUCAGGCCUUUGAAGACAGUUUUUGACUAUUACUAUAACUAUCUUUAAUAUUUUCCCUAUCAACCUAAUUGAACCCCAUCAAUGAAAAAGCAUUUGGGAAAAUUUAACAUUGCUUCAUGAUAAAAACUGUCAAGAGUUAUGUUUAAAAAAUUCAUCUGAACACAGUGAAAAUUAUAUAUGACAAAUUUACAGCUAACAUCAUACUGAAUGGGAAAAAGUUGCAAGCUUUUGCUAAGGUCUGAAAGAAGUCAAGAGAGGGCAUUUUCAUUACAUCUAUUCAACAUAAUACUAGAAGUCUGAGCCACAGCAGUUAUGUAAAUGAGAGAAAAUACUAGGGAUAUCUGGAUAGAAGGGAAGAAGCUACACAUCCCUUGUAUGCAGAUAACUUCAUCUUACAUAGAAAACCAUAAAUAAUCCAUUUAAAAAACUAUUAGAACUAAUAAACAAAUUCAGUAAAUAUGUAGAGUACAAAAUUCACAUGAAAAAUAGGCAGGCAGAUCAUGAAUUCAGAAGUUUCAGCCCAGCCUGGUGAAACCCCAUCUCUACUAAAAAUACAAAAAUUAUGUGGGUGUGGUGGCACACACCUGUAAUCCCAGCUACUCAGGAGGCUGAGGUAGGAGAAUCGUUUGAUCUGGGAAGCAGAGGUUGCCGUGAGCCAAGGUUGCAUCACUGCACUCCAGCCUGGGUGACAGAGUAAGACUCCAUCUCCAAAACAAAAGGAAAAAAAAGAAAAAAACUUAGUAUCCAGAACAAAUAAGAAACAAUAGCCAAAAAUUUUCUAAUUAAAAAUGUUCAAAAGAUGUAAAUAGACAUUUCUCCAAAAAUGACACAGAUACUUCCAACACAUUUCUAAAUAAAAGUUCAACAUAAUUUUUAUUGGAGAAAUGCCAGGAAAACCCAUAAGAAAAUAUGACAAGUCCUUUCAGCUCAGUGAAUCUAUUAGAAUAAUAAUGGAUAUAACUAAAAAUUGCAAAAGAAUAACAAGUAUUGCCAGGGAUGUGGAGAAAAGAAAAGUGGGGAACUGCACAAAACAUCCUCUUGGAUGGAAUGUAAAUUAGUAGAAUCAGUAUGGAAGACAUUCUGUAGAUCUCUAAAAAAUUUACAUGAAAGUUUCCACAUGACUGAACAAUCUGCACCACUGAGUAUGUAGGCAAGGGAAAGAAAAUUAGCAUGUCAAAUAAAUAUUUGCUCUUUUUUGUUUAUUACAGCACUAUUCACCAUGAACAAUACAAUAUUAAACCUGGAUGUUCAUAAACAGACAAAUGAAUUUAAAAUGUGGUAUAUGUACACACACACACAAUGAAAUAGUAUAUAUCUAUUAAAAAUGAACUUUUAUCAUUUGCCAUGCCACAUACCAUGUAUAUUCCUUUACAUGUAACUAAGCAAAAUAACCUAGGUGUAGGAAUAAAAAUAACACAUUAUCUGACCUAUAUGUGGAAUCUAAAAAAUUUUCUCAUAGAAUUAUAGGGAAGAAUAGUGGUUAUGGGGGUCUAGAAAGAAUUAGAAAUGUAGGGAUAGGAAGAAGUUGGUAAAUAAAUACAAAAAAAGUAGUUAAAUUGAAAAAAAAGAAGCAAUGGUAUUCCAUUGCACAGCAGGGUCACUAUUUUUAAUAACAAUGCAUUAUAUAUUUCUAAAUAGAAGAGAGAAUUCCUAGGGUUCUAAUCACGAGGAACAUUAGAGGAGAUGAAUAAAUACCAUUAUUUGGUAUAUUGUAUGCAUGUUUUAAAAUAACAUGGUCUGCCAUAUAGUUGUGCAUGUAUAAUAUGUGAAUGGAAAAUAUAAUGAAACUUAAAAUGUAAAAUGUAACAAAAUCAGAGAAAUAGAUGGAGAGACAAGUAAAAAAUGCAAACAAACACAGACGCUGAUGAAUGAAGUGCACCACAGACACAGAGACCAAUAAGGCUAACAGAAAAUGGCACAAACUCACCCUGAGAUACACAAACAAAUUGGGGGUCCCGAGCAGCCUAACUGGGGGGCACCCCCCCAGUAGGGGCAGACUGACACCUCACAUGGCCAGGUACUCCUCUGAGACAAAACUUCCAGAGGAGCCAUCAGACAGCAGCAUUCGUGGUUCAUGAAAAUCUGCUGUUCUGCAGCCACCGCUGCUGAUACCCAGGCAAACGGGAUCUGGAGUGGUCCUCUAGAAAACUCCAACAGACCUGCAGCUGAGGGUCCUGUCUGUUAGAAGGAAAACUAACAAACAGAAAGGACAUCCACACCAAAAACCCAUCUGUACAUCACCAUCAUCAAAGACCAAAAGUAGUUAAACCCACGAAGAUGGGGAAAAAACACAGCAGAAAAACUGGAAACUCUAAAAAGCAGAGCGCCUCUCCUCCUCCAAAGGAACGCAAUUCUUCACCAGCAAUGGAACAAAGCUGGAUGGAGAAUGAUUUUGACGAGUUGAGAGAAGAAGGCUUCAGACGAUCAAACUACUUCGAGCUACAGGAGGAAAUUCAAAUCAAAGGCAAAGAAGUUGAAAACUUUGAAAAAAAUUUAGACGAAUGUAUAACUAGAAUAACCAAUACAGAGAAGUGCUUAAAAGAGCUGAUGGAGCUGAAAGCCAAGGCUUGAGAACUACGUGAAGAAUGAGGAAGCCUCAGGAGCUGAUGCAAUCAACUGGAAGAAAGGGUAUCAGUGAUGGAAGAUGAAAUGAAUGAAAUGAAGCAAGAAGGGAAGUUUAGAGAAAAAAGAAUACAAAGAAACGAACAAAGCCUCCAAGAAAUAUGGGACUAUGUGAAAAGACCAAAUCUACGUCUCAUUGGUGUACCUGAAAGUGAUGCGGAGAAUGGAACCAAGUUGGAAAACACUCUGCAGGAGAACUUCGCCAAUCUAGCAAGGUAGGCCAACAUUCAGAUUCAGGAAAUACAGAGAAUGCCAUGAAGAUACUCCUGAAGAAGAGCAACUCCAAGACACAUAAUUGUCAGAUUCACCAAAGUUGACAUGAUGGAAAAAAUGUUAAGGGCAGCCAGAGAGAAAGGUCAGGUUACCCACAAAGGGAAGCCCAUCAGACUAACAGCUGAUGUCUUGGCAGAAACUCUGCAAGCCAGAAGAGAGUGGGGGCCAAUAUUCAACAUUCUUAAAGAAAAGAAUUUUCAAUCCAGAAUUUCAUAUCCAGCCAAACUAAGCUUCUUAAGUGAAGGAGAAAUAAAAUACUUUACAGACAAGCAAAUGCUGAGAGAUUACUGCUCUAAAAGAGCUCCUGAAGGAAGCACUAAACAUGGAAAGGAAAAACCGGUAUCAGCCACUGCAAAACCAUGCCAAAUUGUAAAGACCUUCAAAGCUAGGAAGAAACUGCAUCAACUAACGAGCAAAAUAACCAGCUAACAUCAUAAUGACAGGAUCAAAUUCACACAUAAUAAUAUUAACUUUAAAUGUAAAUGGACUAACACUGUUGGUGGGACUGUAAACUAGUUCAACCAUUGUCGAAGUCAGUUUGGUGAUUUCUCAGGGAUCUAGAACUAGAAAUACCAUUUGACCCAGCCAUCCCAUUACUGGGUAUAUACCCAAAGGACUAUAAAUCAUGCUGCUAUAAAGACAUAUGCACACGUACAUUUAUUGCGGCACUAUUCACAAUAGCAAAGACUUGGAACCAACCCAAAUGCCCAACAAUGAUAGACUGGAUUAAGAAAAUGGGGCACAUACACACCAUGGGAUAUUAUGCAGCCAUAAAAAAUGAUGAGUUCAUGUCCUUUGUAGGGACAUGGAUGAAAUUGGAAAUCAUCAUUCUCAGUAAACUAUCACAAGGACAAAAAACCAAACACCACAUAUUCUCACUCAUAGGUGUGAAUUGAACAAUGAGAACACAUGGACACAGGAAGGGGAACAUCACACUCUGGGGGCUGUUGUGGGGUAGGGGUAGGGGGGAGGGAUAGCAUUAGGAGAUAUACCUAAUGCUAAAUGAUGAGUUAAUGGCUGUAGCACACCAGCAUGGCACAUGUAUACAUAUGUAACUAACCUGCACAUUGUGCUCAUGUACCCUAAAACUUAAAUUAUAAUAAAAUAAAAGAAAGUGGGGGUCAUGCUGUCUCCUCCUUCUAGAGGAGAAUGUCCUGAGGCCCAGUAAACUGGCACAUGAGCCUCCACCAGCUGUGCUUCUUAUCUGUAUUCAUCACUUUUCCUCUCCAUCAAUUUGUUCUUCCUGCUAGUGCUUCCUUUUCUCAGGUGGUGUUGCAAGAGACUGAGUUGCAUGUCAUCACUCUUAAGCUGCCAGAUAAAAUGCACAGUUAAGAUUAACAUUCAUCCCUCAAGAACUUUAACAAUUGAAACAACUGGAAAAUCCACCAAAAUCAUGUCAACUGAUGCCCACAAGGCAUCCCCUCAGUAGUUGUCUUGUUGUAUCCUGUUACAGUAUGGUCAUAGCACUGCUUGAAGAAGUUGAGAAAAGUAGUGAUGUUUCUGUAGGUCAGGCCUCUGUUUACAUUCCAGCCAUUUUGGAUUUACAUACUAUGAUACAAUAUAUAUCUUGGAGAAAAACAAGGGUGCAGCAAAGGUGCUGGAGUAUGUUGGUCUAAGUCUUAACCACACCACAUUCUCCCCAGUGUUACUUGUUAUCAGUGAAGACAAUUUCUAGCGUCCAUUACAGAACUCCUAAGAGUAAACUUAGGUGUAUUAUUUAGCUCUUCUCAUCAAUUCUGCCCUCUACACUUUACAACCUCUGGUAACUGAUAUUCUAUUCUCUACUUCUGUAAGAUAAACUUUUCUCAAAUUUACAUAUGCUUGAGCUAAGGGAUAUAAGUCUUUCUGUACCUGACUUAUUUUACUUUGCAAAAUGUUCUCAACAUUUAUCUAUGUUGUCAUAAAUAACAAAAAUGUGUUGAUUGGCACUUAGAUUGAUUUAAUAUCUUCAUUAUAGUAAAUAUUGCUGCAAUAAACAUGGGAGUAAAGAUAUUUUUCCAACACACUGAUUUUUUUUCCUUUUUUUUUUUCUUUUCAUAUGGAGUCUCACUGUGUUGUGCAGGACGGAAUGCAGUGGCAUGAUCUUGGCUCACUGUGAUAUCUCCUCCCAGUUUCAGCCUAUUCUCCCACCUCAGCCUUUGUUUGUUUUUGCCAAUAAGUCAUUUUUUCUCAUAUAUUUUGGCUAUUAAUCCCUAUUAAAUAAAUCGUGAAAUUUUUUUACCCUAUUGUAGGUCCUUUUCUCUGUUGUAAGCUUUCACUGUUGUGGUUGUAAUUGUUUUCUUGUGCAGAAGCUUAUAAAAUUUAUGUGUCAUGUAAUACUCUAUGUAUCUAUGGACAUAAAGUGAUAUAUAUAUAGAAUGAAUAAUGAUCAAAUCAGACCAUUAGAAUGUCAUUCAUCUCAAGUAUUUAUAAUUUAUAUUUGUUGUGAACAUUUAAAAUUAUCUCUUCUGCAUUUUUGAAAAUAUACAUGAAAUUAUUAUAUCUAUUCUGCACUGCUAUAGAACACCAAAACUUUUUUCUACUCCCAUCUAGUUGUAAGCUGGUACCUAUUGCCCACUCUUUCCUGAUUUACCCAUUCUCUGAACACCCCAGUGUCAAACCAAUACAAUUAUCCUCUCUACCUAUAUGAAAUAAUUUUGGUAUUCAAAAGCAUAUGUGAUUUGUAUGUUUUAUAUUUUUUCACUUGAUUCAUUUUACUUUACCUAAGGUACUACAGUCUUACUCUCAUUGCCACAUAUUGUACUAUUUUACUGUUUUUAUGGGUGCAUAGUAUUCCAUUUUCACCUCUCUUUCUCUUUCUCUUCCUCUUUCUCUCCCUCUCUCCCUCUCACGUGUGUGUGUGUAUGUGUGUGUGUAUACAUACAUACAUACAUUUAGAUUAGCAGUAUAUGUCAACUAUAUGAGUACAGCUGCAAUAAACAUGAAAUUGCAGGUGUCUCCAAUAUACUGCUUUUUUCUCUCUGAAUAAUGGAAUUUCUGGAUCAUAUAAUAGGUUUCAUGUUUGUCCACUUUGUGAGAAACUUCACACUAUUCUCCAUAAUGGCUAUAUUAAUUUUCAUUUUCAGUAUCAAUGUAUGAGUGUCUUUUUCUGACCUUUUUUCAUUAUUGUUUAUUAAAGGAACUGCUGUUUACCCAUUGUGUAUUUGUUGCCUAUCUGUAUGCUUUUAUGUUGAUAUAAUUCUUUUACUGUUAUUGUUUACUAUUUCUUUGUAGAUAUUUUCUUAUCACAUGGUAUGACAUUCCUAGCAUUAUUUUUUGUUUCAUCUUGCUUUCACUCUGGUGUCUUUCAUUGGUUCCCUACUAAUUUUAGAUUAUUUUUGUGAAUCAUGCCAUUGGUAUUAUAUUUUCCUUUUGAUUACACUAAAUAUAAAUAUUAUUUAGGUGGCAUUGUCAUUUUAACAGAAGUAAUUCCUCCAGUGUAUGACCCUGUGGUCUGUCCAUUUUUAGCUAUUUUUAAUAUAUUUAUCAGUGUUUUGUCAUUUUUAUUGUAGAGAUCUUUUACCUUCUUAGUAAAAUAAGAAGGUAUUUUAUUUCUUAUAGCAGUUAUAAAUAGGAUUCUCUUCUUUACUUCUAUUUAUUUAAUUAAUUAAUGGCUAUAGACAUGUUGCUAAUUUCUAUUGAUCUUGAAACUCUACUAAAUUUGUUUAUUAUUUCUAAGCAGGUUUCAAGGAGAUGCUAGGUUCUUUUAGUAUGAGGAGUAUAUCAAUGACAGAGGGACAGUUUGACAUUUUUAUUCGUAUUUGGAUGGUCUUCAUUACUUUCUCUUGCCUAAUUUUCUGGAGAGUAAUUCAUUAUUAUAUUUAAUAAGAGUGGUAAAAGUUCACACUCUUUACCUAGUUCCAGUUGCAGAAGAAAGGCUUUCAGCUUUUAGCCAUUCAAUGUGAUGAUAGCCCUGUGUUAGCCUUAUAUGGUCUUUAUUGUGUUGAGUGUAUUUAUUUUAUAGUUAGCCAUUAAAAGUUUUUUAAUCUUUUAAAAUUAUGUAUGAAUGUUGUUUUGCGGCCCAAUAUAUGGUGUAUUAUUUUUAAUGUCUUAUGUACUUGUAAAAAAUAUACAUGUUCUAGAGCUAUUGAGUAAAAUAUUUGAUCUCUAGUGCAGCUUAAUUACAUUUUAUCUUUGACAAUAUUUUGUUGAUAUAAGUAUGUGUUAUGCUGAAUGAAGGGUGCUAAAGUCCACUUGAUUGUGUUGCUGUAGAGAGGAAUUAUAUGCUGAGUUUUGCCCUAGAGACCAAAGCUGCUGUUGUAUUAAGGCACUAUUUAGAAAAUAGAACCAAUAAAGGACUAAAUUUUUCCCUGGGGUUUAACAUUUCUGACAUCUUGCUGACAUCCUUCAACACACACCCAGAGGUCUGAGUGUCAUGGCAAUAUCUGUACUCAUUGAUAUGGCCAAGUCACUGGACUAUAAGCCUGCCAAGGCCCAUUACCUUGAGAAGUGGGUAGUCCAGCUAAUUAGAUAGGCUGUGCUCUAGAUUCAGAAAAGCAAAGUGUGCACCCUCCUGAGCCCAAGAGCAAUCUUCCUGGUUUACAGCCACCACAACCACAUUUCUCUCACUCAGCAGUAGGAUCACAACACAACCUCCUGCCUCACUUUCUUUCUCAGAGAACAAUUGUGUGUCCUGCUAUGUUUACUGCCAUGCUUAGGAUCCAAGGACAGUGAGCAGGAAACCACCCAGGUCAGCCAUCAUAUAUAUCACCAGCACCAGUGUAACACAAUAGACAACCUAAAGACUGACCCACCCAGAUUACUGUGGACAUUACUGGACCCUCUGCACAAAACUCAUGAGUCCUCAAAGUGCCACUUGGUUUUCCAUCAUUAUAUCAGUGCCCAUUUGUGUUACUUGUUGGCUGCUACACCAGCCUACUCCAGGACCCAAUCCCCCACAGGGAUGCUCAAGAAUCAACCACUGGUGACUGAAUGCCAAAUCCAUUGACCCAAGAAGCAUACUACCUACUUCCUAGGGCCCAUAAAUUCCAUCCAAGCUCCCAAGAAUUGGUCUACACAAGGUAUUAAUACCAUCACCCAUUAAGCCACCUGGGUAUAUGAGGAUCAGUUAUCUCUGCUUACCAAUAUCACUGCCAGACUCACACAUGGCACCUCACACUGAAGGAUUGGCCUACUGGUUCCCUAACAACACUAUUACUACCUUCCACACACGUCCACUCAAUUGAUGCCCCUGUUCCAGCAAUAUCUUGGCCCAGCCUCCUCAAACAAAACAAAACAAAACAAAACAAAACAAAACAAAACAGUCUAAGCCAUAAAAAUAAAAUUAGUACAAACAAAGUUAAUGCUAAUUACAGCUAAGUUAAUUAUAUGGACUAUGAUUGCCACCCGUAACCAAAACCAAAGAACUGUACCUAAUAAAAAUUAUAAAAAUAUCUACAGAAGAAAUAUUUUCCUUUGAAAGAUUCUCUAUAUUGUUGACAGAAGGAAAAGCUGCAACAGUUGUGUAAACAUCAAUGUAAGAACCCAUGACCCAUGGGGAAAAAAUAGAAAAAGAAAACCUGCACACCUUUAGGGGAACACAAUAGUCCUUAAGUAAACAGACUUAAAAAAGAAGAGAUCUGCCAGGCAUGGUUGCUCACACCUGUAAUCCCAGCACUUUCAGAGGCUGCGACGGGCCGAUCACCUGAGGUAGGGAAUUUUAGACCAGCCAGACCAACAUGGAGAAACCCCAUCUCUACUAAAAACACAAAAUUAGCUGGGCAUGGUGGCACAUGCCUGUAAUCCCAGGUACUCAGAUGGCAGAGGAAGAAGAAUUGUCUGAACCCAGGAGAUGAAUGUUGCAGUGAGCUGAGAUCAUGCCACCGCAUUCCUGCCUGUGUGACAGAACUACACUCCACCUCACAAAAAAAAAAAGAGAUCUUACUCAAUGCAAAACAAGGAAUUAAAGAUCUAAAGAGAAAAAUAAAUAAAAUGUAUAAUGGCUAAACUAGAAAUAAAUAAAACAUAAUCUGAAUGAGUAAUUCGAACAGAGAGAUAUUAUUGAAAAAGAACUGUUAGAAAUGAUAAAUUUCUUUUCAAAAGGUUUAAUUGUGUAUUUUUUUCCUUUGUUUAGAAGCCCAACCUCCUUGUACUCUCUUGUUUCCAGCCAGCAAACUACACUGCUGCUUUAGUUGCACCCUGACAUUUCCAGACAUAACUUAUACUAAAGUUAUAUACAUAACUUUGGGACAUGCCUUAUACUACAAUGGACAAACCACUUCUACCCCCUCCUUUUACAAAUUGCACGUUUACCCUAUUUAGAAAAGAUUAAGUCUUAGCCUACCAGGUUAGUUUAGAUUGUGUUGUUCAACGCUAGACAAUAACAGAAGGACAGAGGGACAGGAACUUGGAAAGGAUAAAAGUCCCUUCUUUCCUUUGUUUGAGGUUCUCUUGCAAUUGUGACCAAGGCAGACAGGACUCUUCUGCAGAAGUAAAUUGACUUGCUGAGAAAACUUUUUGCCUGACUGCUGGUUCUUCUUUGCAGCAUCAAGCACUUGUUUCUAACAAUCUUGGGGCUCAUCUGGGAUUCCCAUUCUCCUCCAUGGAAGGGUCUCUGAUCCCCUCUCAUGAAGAGGCAUGUCCCAUGGCCUUAUGGCGGUGGCCUCAAGGGUAGGGAAUUGGAACCUACCAAACGUCAUGCAUAAACUGAGACUCUCAGCAAUAUGGGAAGAAAAUGCCUUCAAAUACCAUGCAACCGAGUAACAUUGUAUACAGACCUAGGUAAGAAAAACAAUGGGGAUGGUAAGGUAUUUCUUGGUGGUCAGAACAUCUUGGGGCUUGAAAGUGUGUGAGUGAGAUGCACAAUUGAGCUCCAAGUGAGUGUGGUCCUGAUCUUUGGUUCUGUGAUCACCUCAAUGGCUUAUGGCGGAUUCCUAUUGUGGGGUUUAUAAUGAUAUGCUAAUGCUAAGAGGGGUUUAAACUACACCUGGGUAAGUGGCCAGAGACAGAUGAAGUAAAAGUAAAAGAGUGCAAGGAACCUCCAGCAGGUGAACUUGAGCCUGCAGAGCAGAGAGUGUGAGAAACCUCUAGCAGUCUGGGUUGAGCCUCUAGAGCUGAGGGUGCAAGAAGUCUCUAGCAAGAGAGGUUAAGGCCCACACACUUGGGACACUCAAGGAAACACUAAAAACUUCCAGGAUGGAAAUAGCUCAAGCAAGUUAGGGGAUAAAAAGGAAAAGAUAGACAAUAAAAUCCCCUCAGAUAGCGUUCUUGGUCUCAUAUUAAAAUAUUGGAAGGAUAAUGAGAGAACCGAAUAUAAGAAAAAGCAACAAAUGAUAAAAUAUUGUUUUAUUUGGACCAAAGUACCUAUCCUCAAACCCUCAGUUUUCUGUGCAAAAUUUGGAUCUAGUGAGGACUGGAUUUGCUAACUUUUUAUAGAGUAUGACAAUGACAAAUGUUCUGUCUCCCAGGAGGAAAUAGACUGUGCUCUGUGUUGGUGGGAGGGGUCUGUUUUUCUCUAUCCCCUAAAAACUACAGGAGACAAGCAGGGAAUUACUUCCCCUCAGGAAAUUAAAAUCCCUAAUCCCAAACCACGCACUAGCACGUGCAACCCUUUAGACUACCUUCCUCCAUCUGCACCUGCUCUCACCACCACUGCCUCUAACCUCCAUACCCUGCAAGUAAAUGCAGCUGCCCGUAGUUCUGCCCCUUCCCUUACUCACAGUGUUCCUCCCCCUUAUAACCCUGACUCUUGGAGUCAUCCCUAGACUGAAUGCCCUCCCUUAGGAGUGCUUCAGUGUGAGAUAGAACAACAUUAGAAGAAUAUUUAAUACUUCCGGUUGCCCACUACCUCCAGAGUAUCAGCCACAAACCUUUUUUCCCUUAAGAUAAGUGUCUCUAGGUGGGGUGGGGGGCGGGGGCGGGUGGGAGGCGGGGAUUGGCUUUUUUAACACCCUAUUAGCCAGUUCAGAAGUCCAAUGCCUAAAAAGUGAAUAAUAGUCUCUAUGGAAUGGCAGACCAAAUUGAUCAAUUCUUAGGACCACAGUUGUAUAGUUGGACCAAGUUAAUGUCAAUCUUUGGCAUCCUCUUUUUUGGAGAGGAAAGAAGCAUGAUCCAUAGGGCCACUAUGACCAUUUGGGAGCAUGAGCACACCCCAGGUCAAAACGUUCCUGCAGCUGAACAAAAAGUUUCUGCCGAGAUCCCCAGUUGGGUCACAAAAAUAUAGCCUAUUGAGGGAAUAUGAGGGAUAUCCAAAAAAUGAUAAUUAAAGGAAUAAGAGAAUCAGUGCCCUGCACCAAGGAUGUUACCAAAGCCUUUAAUAUACAACAGGGAAAGGAUGAAAGGUCUAUGGAAUUUUGAGAGAGACAUAAAGAGCAGAUGGAAAAACAUGCUGGCCUAAAUUAGUAGACCACCUUGGGCAGGGAAUGUUAAAGCUCCACUUUUUCACCAAUAGUUGGCCAGAUAUUACCAGGAAAUUACAAAAGAUAGAAAAUUGGAAGACCACCAGCCCAUAGAGAAAUUUUUAAGGGAGGGCCAAAAGGUAUAUGUAUGGAGAGACAAAGAAAAGUAAAAACAAAAGGCAAAAAUUAUGCUAUCUACCUUACGUCAGGGAACUCCUCCACAGACAGCCCAGGAGAAUAGAACUUAUAAGCCUUCCAGUACAUGGCUGUCAGACCUAACACAGGAGUCAAAGAGAGCAAGCCAGAAAAACAGAAAAUAAAGAGAGAAAAAGUACAAAUAAAUGCUUAAAAUGUGGAAAAUUAGGUCACUUUAAAAAUAGAAUGCCCUGAAUGGGAAGACGAAAAGGAAGUCAUCCCACUUACAGCUUUUGAGGAAGAAUACGGGUUCAGGGGCUCUGUCUUUACUACCUUGAGUCCCACCAAGAGCCCUUGAUAAAUCUAGAGGUGGGACACAACUCUGAGCUUAUUAACUUUUUAACUGACUCAGCUGCAGCUUGCUCCUCUGUUUGUCAUUCUCCAUCUAAUAUAAUUUGUUCACAAGAAGAACUCCUUAUUUCAGGAGUAAAGAGAGAAGGAUUUAAAGCAACAUUUUAGAGGAAACAGAAGUCACAUAUAAAAAUAGAUUGGAUAAUGUAAAAUGUUUGCUAAUACCAGAGGCAGGAACUAACCUAAUAGGAAGAGAUUUAAUGCUACAUUUAGGUUUAGGUCUCUAUAUUAACCAGGAAAAAUUUUUUACCUCCCUAAACUUACUCACUACCAUAGGUGAAGAGUAUAUUCACCCCAGUAUCUGGUCAAAAGGAGGAAAUUGAGGAAAAUCAUGAGUUCCCCCAAUAAAGGUCAAAUUAAAAACUUCUGGGGAAGAAGUAAAAAGAAAGCAGUACCCUCUUCCUUUGAAAGCUAGGAUAGAUUUAAAACCUAUAAUUGAAAGCCUUGCUGAUGAUAGACUUCUUGAACCCUGUGUAUCUUCUUAUAAUACUCCAAUAUUAGCUGUAAAGAACCCAGAUGGGUCAUACCACCUAGUGCAAGACCUCCGGACUAUUAAUCAAACAGUUAAAACUACACAUCCUGUUGUUCCCAAUCUUACAUCAUUAUCCCACCUGAGCUUGAAUGGUUCAGAUUAUAGACCUGAAAAAUGCCUUCUGGGUUUGCCAUUUAGCAGAGGACAGCCAAGACUUGUUUGCCUUUGCAUGGGAAACCCCCACUCAUCUAAAGCAACAGCACCAUUGGACAGUUUUACCCCAGGGGUUCACAAAUUCUCCAAAUCUUUUUGGUCAAAUUUUAAAACAAGUCAUAGAAUAAUUUUCCCUUCCCUCAUGCAUAUGUCUACUCCAGUACAUAGAUGUCCUGCUUACUUCUGGGGAAAACAAAGAAAGAAUGGGUAGCAGCUUUUUCAACAAACUUUCUUAAUUUUCUAAGCGGAGAAAGGUUAAGACUCAAAAAGCAAACUUCCGUUUGUACAGCCCAAAGUAAAGUAUUUAUGAAUUUUAAUCAGCAAAGGCCAAUGCAGGAUUGGGUAUGAACCAAUUGAAGGUAUUAUAUCCUAGCUCUCCCAGAAAGAAAACAGUAGUUUAGAAAGUUUUUAGGCUUAGCUGGACACUGUUGCCUAUGGAUCAAUUCUUAUACCCUAGAAACAAAACCACUAUCCCAAAAACUCACCCAGAGGGAGCCAGAACACCUUAUCUGGACCCAACCAGAAAUGCAACAAAUAGAAAAAUUAAAACAUUUACUAGUUACUGCCCCUGUUCUAACUCUACCCUCCCUGGAACAGCCAUUUUAUCUUUUCAUCAGUGUAAACAAGGGAAUGGCUUUAGAAGUAACCACCCAAAAACAUGGGGACCACCAGCCCCCCCAUAAGCUUUCUGUCAAAACUGCUAGACCCAGUAACUUGUGUCUAGUCUGAAUGUGUCCAAUCUGUAGCAACAACUGCCUUACUAACAGAAGAAAGCACAAAAUUAAUUUUUGGGGGAAAUCUCACCAAGUUAGAACAAUCCUCAACCAAACGGCAGAGAGGUGGCUUACUGACUCAAGAAUUUUAAAACAUUAAGCAAUCGUGCCAGAAAGAGAUGACCUAACACUGACCACUGAAAAUUCUUUAAAUCCUGCUGCUUUCCUAACAGGAAAUCCAAACCCAGAGGUAACAGAGAAUCCACACCCAAAAGAAAGAGAUCAUAAAUGUUUAGAUUUAAUUAGUUACCAAACCUAAGUUAGACCGACCUAUGUGAAACUUUUUUCCAAACAGGGAAACAUCUUUUUGUAGAUGAUUCCUCCUGGGUAAUUGAAGGAAAAAAGCAUAACAGAUACUCUGUAGUGGAUGGACAUACCCUCACAAAACUAGAACCUACAAAAUGACUGGUCCACAUAAAUGCGUAGGCUAUUUGCCUUAAAUCAAGCCUUAAAUUUGUUACAGAAACAGGAGGGAAGAACUUAUACUGACUCCAAAUAUGUGUUUGGAGUAGGACAUAUCUUUGGAAAAAGUUGGCCUGAACAUGGCCUUAUUAAUAGUAAAGGUCAAAAUCUAAUCCAUAAAUAGUUAAUAAUACAAGUAUUAGGUAAUCUUCAACUACCUGAGGAAACAGGUCUUGUUCAUGUCCCAGGACAUCAAAAGAGCCUCUACUUUGAAAGUCAGGGAAAUAAGCUAGCUGACCAAAUAGCCAAGCACUCUGUCUAUUCCCAAACUACAUCCGUUUUUUAUUUAAUCCUUUGUCUUUCUCCUCUAACUGUACUCCCUGCUUUUCUCAUACAGUCCAGGAAAAACUAAAGAAAUUAGGAACUAUUUCAUAUCCAGCCAAACUAAGCUUCAUAAG